CGCUCUUUGAAAACUAUACAUAAAGAGUCGAACCUGCCCAGUGGAAAUUCUCAACGGCCGCAGUACCCUGACUGUGCAAAGGUAGCAUAAUCACUUGCCUUAUAAUUGAAGGCUAGAAUGAAUGGUUUGACGAAAGCUAAGCUGUCUCUUUUGUAUUAAAUAAAAAUUAGCUUUUAGGUGAAGAGACCUGAAUAAAAUUGAUAGACGAAAAGACCCUAUUGAGCUUAAGAGAAAAAAUAAAAACUAUUUAGAUCUUUCAAAUAAAAUUUAUUUUUUCUCUUUUGUUGGGGCGACAAAAGAACAAAAAUAGCUUCUUUUUAUUAAUUUAAUAGAUAUAUUAUUUGAUCCACUAUUAAUUGUGAUUAGAAGAAAAAGUUACCAUAGGGAUAACAGCGUAAUCUUUUUGGAGAGCUCUUAUUGAAAAAAAGGUUUGCGACCUCGAUGUUGGAUUAAGAAAACUUUUAGGUGCAGUAACUACUAAAAGUUGGUCUGUUCGACCAUUAAAUUCUU
RNAcentral lists this ribosomal RNA (510 nucleotides) under Leptochiton hakodatensis. RNAcentral describes it as "partial 16S ribosomal RNA". It matches the Rfam family "Bacterial large subunit ribosomal RNA", at positions 1819 to 2597 of the family's 2925-position model. Lineage: Eukaryota; Metazoa; Mollusca; Polyplacophora; Lepidopleurida; Lepidopleuridae. The record is from RNAcentral.